RNAcentral lists this ribosomal RNA (775 nucleotides) under uncultured bacterium. RNAcentral describes it as "bacterial SSU rRNA". It matches the Rfam family "Bacterial small subunit ribosomal RNA", at positions 8 to 796 of the family's 1533-position model. The record is from RNAcentral.
AGAGUUUGAUCCUGGCUCAGGAUGAACGCUGGCGGCGUGCUUAACACAUGCAAGUCGAACGAUGAAGCCAGCUUGCUGGGGAUUAGUGGCGAACGGGUGAGUAACACGUGAGUAACCUGCCCUUGACUCUGGGAUAAGCCUGGGAAACCGGGUCUAAUACUGGAUAUGACUGCCGGCCGCAUGGUCUGGUGGUGGAAAGCUUUAUUGCGGUUUUGGAUGGACUCGCGGCCUAUCAGCUUGUUGGCGGGGUAAUGGCCCACCAAGGCGACGACGGGUAGCCGGCCUGAGAGGGUGACCGGCCACACUGGGACUGAGACACGGCCCAGACUCCUACGGGAGGCAGCAGUGGGGAAUAUUGCACAAUGGGCGCAAGCCUGAUGCAGCGACGCCGCGUGAGGGAUGAAGGCCUUCGGGUUGUAAACCUCUUUCAGUAGGGAAGAAGCGAAAGUGACGGUACCUGCAGAAGAAGCGCCGGCUAACUACGUGCCAGCAGCCGCGGUAAUACGUAGGGCGCAAGCGUUAUCCGGAAUUAUUGGGCGUAAAGAGCUCGUAGGCGGUUUGUCGCGUCUGCCGUGAAAGUCCGGGGCUUAACUCCGGAUCUGCGGUGGGUACGGGCAGACUAGAGUGCAGUAGGGGAGACUGGAAUUCCUGGUGUAGCGGUGAAAUGCGCAGAUAUCAGGAGGAACACCGAUGGCGAAGGCAGGUCUCUGGGCUGUAACUGACGCUGAGGAGCGAAAGCAUGGGGAGCGAACAGGAUUAGAUACCCUAGUAGUCC